Molecule: ribosomal RNA, 432 nt
Filed under: uncultured soil bacterium
Lineage: Bacteria
Description: bacterial SSU rRNA
Rfam family: Bacterial small subunit ribosomal RNA
Source: RNAcentral
GUGACUAUGCGACACCGCGUGCAGGAUGAAGGCCUUCGGGUUGUAAACUGCUGUCACGUUCUAGGAACCGUACGAGGUUAACAGCCUCGUGCCUGACCAAGACGGGAGGAAGCGCCGGCUAACCCUGUGCCAGCAGCCGCGGUAAGACAGGGGGCGCAAACGUCGUUCGGAAUCACUGGGCAUAAAGCGCACGUAGGCCGCGCGUCAAGUCGCGUGUGAAAGCCCCCGGCUCAACCGGGGAACAGCACGCGAUACUGGCGCGCCCGAGGGUGGUAGGGGUGAGUGGAACUCCAGGUGGAGCGGUGAAAUGCGUAGAUAUCUGGAGGAACGCCGGUGGCGAAAGCGGCUCACUGGACCACAACUGACGCUGAGGUGCGAAAGCUAGGGGAGCAAACGGGAUUAGAUACCCCGGUAGUCCUAGCCGUAAACGAU